RNAcentral lists this ribosomal RNA (492 nucleotides) under uncultured bacterium. RNAcentral describes it as "SSU rRNA". It matches the Rfam family "Bacterial small subunit ribosomal RNA", at positions 26 to 518 of the family's 1533-position model. The record is from RNAcentral.
AGGACGAACGCUGGCGGCGUGCUUAACACAUGCAAGUGGAGCGACGAACCAGGGCUUGCCCUGGGGCAGAGCCGCGAACGGGUGAGUAACACGUGGGUUACCUGCCUUGAUGACCGGGACAACCCGAGGAAACUCGGGCUAAUACCGGAUGUGCCCGCAAGGGGAAAGGAAGCUUCGGCCUCCGCAUCGAGAUGGGCCCGCGGCCCAUUAGCUUGUUGGUGAGGUAACGGCUCACCAAGGCUUCGAUGGGUAGCUGGUCUGAGAGGACGAUCAGCCACACUGGGACUGAGACACGGCCCAGACUCCUACGGGAGGCAGCAGUGGGGAAUCUUGCGCAAUGCGCGAAAGCGUGACGCAGCAACGCCGCGUGGGGGAAGAAGGCUUUCGGGUUGUAAACCCCUUUCAGUUGGGACGAAGCUUCUCCGGUGAAUAGCCGGACGGAGUGACGGUACCUUCACAAGAAGCACCGGCUAACUACGUGCCAGCAGCCGC